AUUGAACGCUGGCGGCAUGCCUUACACAUGCAAGUCGAACGGCAGCAUGGAAGAGCUUGCUCUUCUGAUGGCGAGUGGCGAACGGGUGAGUAAAGCAUCGGAACGUACCGUGUAGUGGGGGAUAACGUAGCGAAAGUUACGCUAACACCGCAUACGCACUGAGGUGGAAAGCAGGGGAUCGCAAGACCUUGCGCUAUACGAGCGGCCGAUGUCAGAUUAGCUAGUUGGUAGGUAAAGGCCUACCAAGGCGACGAUCUGUAGCGGGUCUGAGAGGACGAUCAGCCACACUGGGACUGAGACACGGCCCAGACUCCUACGGGAGGCAGCAGUGGGGAAUUUUGGACAAAUGGGGGGGAAAACCCCUGGAUCCAGCAAUGCCGCGUGAGUGAAGAAGGCCUUC
Molecule: ribosomal RNA, 400 nt
Filed under: uncultured bacterium
Lineage: Bacteria
Description: bacterial SSU rRNA
Rfam family: Bacterial small subunit ribosomal RNA
Source: RNAcentral